RNAcentral lists this ribosomal RNA (309 nucleotides) under uncultured bacterium. Its description in RNAcentral is "bacterial SSU rRNA". It matches the Rfam family "Bacterial small subunit ribosomal RNA", at positions 28 to 334 of the family's 1533-position model. The record is from RNAcentral.
GACGAACGCUGGCGGCGCGCCUAACACAUGCAAGUCGAACGAGCGAGAGAGAGCUUGCUUUCUCGAGCGAGUGGCGAACGGGUGAGUAACGCGUGAGGAACCUGCCUCAAAGAGGGGGACAACAGUUAGAAAUGACUGCUAAUACCGCAUAAGCGCACAGCAUCGCAUGAUGCAGUGUGAAAAACUCCGGUGGUAUGAGAUGGACCCGCGUCUGAUUAGCUAGUUGGUGAGGUAACGGCUCACCAAGGCGACGAUCAGUAGCCGACCUGAGAGGGUGAUCGGCCACAUUGGGACUGAGACACGGCCCAA